UACGUAGGGUGCAAGCGUUGUCCGGAAUUAUUGGGCGUAAAGAGCGUGUAGGCGGCUCGAUUAGUCCGCUGUGAAAGUCCAGGGCUCAACCCUGGAAUGCCGGUGGAUACUGUCGAGCUAGAGUCCGGAAGGGGCGAGUGGAAUUCCUGGUGUAGCGGUGAAAUGCGCAGAUAUCAGGAGGAACACCAAUGGCGAAGGCAGCUCGCUGGGACGUGACUGACGCUGAGACGCGAAAGCGUGGGGAGCGAACAGG
RNAcentral lists this ribosomal RNA (253 nucleotides) under uncultured bacterium. RNAcentral describes it as "partial 16S ribosomal RNA". It matches the Rfam family "Bacterial small subunit ribosomal RNA", at positions 524 to 776 of the family's 1533-position model. The record is from RNAcentral.